GAUGAACGCUGGCGGCGUGCUUAACACAUGCAAGUCGAACGAUGAAGCCCAGCUUGCUGGGUGGAUUAGUGGCGAACGGGUGAGUAACACGUGAGUAACCUGCCCUUAACUCUGGGAUAAGCCUGGGAAACUGGGUCUAAUACCGGAUAGGAGCGUCCACCGCAUGGUGGGUGUUGGAAAGAUUUAUCGGUUUUGGAUGGACUCGCGGCCUAUCAGCUUGUUGGUGAGGUAAUGGCUCACCAAGGCGACGACGGGUAGCCGGCCUGAGAGGGUGAACGGCCACACUGGGACUGAGACACGGCCCAGACUCCAACCGGAGGCAGCAGUGGGGAAUAUUGCACAACGGGCGCAAGCCUGAGGCAGCGACGCCGCGUGAGGGAUGACGGCCUUCGAGUUGUAAACCUCUGUCAGUAGGAAAGAAGCGAGAGUGACGGUACCUGCAGAAGAAGCACCGGCUAACUACGUG
Molecule: ribosomal RNA, 466 nt
Filed under: uncultured bacterium
Lineage: Bacteria
Description: partial 16S ribosomal RNA
Rfam family: Bacterial small subunit ribosomal RNA
Source: RNAcentral